RNAcentral lists this ribosomal RNA (253 nucleotides) under uncultured bacterium. RNAcentral describes it as "partial 16S ribosomal RNA". It matches the Rfam family "Bacterial small subunit ribosomal RNA", at positions 524 to 776 of the family's 1533-position model. The record is from RNAcentral.
UACGUAGGGUGCGAGCGUUGUCCGGAAUUAUUGGGCGUAAAGAGCUUGUAGGCGGUUUGUCGCGUCUGCUGUGAAAAUCCGGGGCUCAACCCCGGACUUGCAGUGGGUACGGGCAGACUAGAGUGUGGUAGGGGAGACUGGAAUUCCUGGUGUAGCGGUGAAAUGCGCAGAUAUCAGGAGGAACACCGAUGGCGAAGGCAGGUCUCUGGGCCACUACUGACGCUGAGGAGCGAAAGCGUGGGUAGCAAACAGG